GGUCAAGUCAUCAUGGCCCUUAUAGGUUGGGCUACACACGUGCUACAAUGGGAUGUACAGAGGGUUGCGAAAGCGUGAGCUGGAGCCAAACCCUUAAAGCAUUUCGUAGUCCGGAUUGGAGUCUGCAACUCGACUCCAUGAAGUCGGAAUCACUAGUAAUCGCGAAUCAGAAUGUCGCGGUGAAUACGUUCUCGGGCCUU
This 200-nucleotide ribosomal RNA is filed under the name uncultured prokaryote. RNAcentral describes it as "partial 16S ribosomal RNA". It matches the Rfam family "Bacterial small subunit ribosomal RNA", at positions 1183 to 1382 of the family's 1533-position model. The record is from RNAcentral.